AUAGAAUCGGCUCCUCAAGGGCAGGUCAGCUCGCUCCCUUACAGAAAGGGGGUGAUGUGCGUGACAAUAUAUGAGGCCAACAUGCAGACGCUUACGUUCGGAUUAUUUAUCGUAGGCUUUCUGAGUGUUAUCAUAGCAAUUGUUGCUAUCGCCAUGAAACGCAGAUAGACCUCCCUUGAGCCUGCAAGCAAAGGAGAGGUCUAUUUUUUGUAACCUUAUGAGCUGUCCCUCUUAACGGGAACACCUAUUGUACACAGGCCGCUUGGUGUUGGCAGCACC
RNAcentral lists this small RNA (279 nucleotides) under Aneurinibacillus aneurinilyticus. Its description in RNAcentral is "BsrG". It matches the Rfam family "BsrG". From Rfam's summary of the family: bsrE, bsrG and bsrH pair through intermolecular interactions with antisense sRNAs. SR4 interaction with the 3'UTR of bsrG RNA promotes bsrG degradation and inhibits its translation. Lineage: Bacteria; Bacillati; Bacillota; Bacilli; Caryophanales; Paenibacillaceae. The record is from RNAcentral.